AUGGAGGCCGACGCCGAAGGAGGAGGAGGAGGAGGAGGAGGAGGAGGCUUCAGGCCCUUGACCACUUUUGCCGACUGGCCUGAUGACGACGCCGAGGUGGAAGCCGCCCCGCGCCACCAACCAAUGGUCGGCCAGCCGAGCGCGAGUUCCUCCACCGGCUUGGGUGGUCAAGGCGGCGCGAAGAGGCGCCGGGCCAGGCCGAGCUUGCUUGGCGGCCGGUCGAAGAAGUUCAAGGGGGCAGCCGCCACGACCAAGCGGGAGGAGGCCAUCGCGAAGGCCAACCGCUUCCGUAAGGAAGUGAAGAAGCCGCCCCUGGUCUCCGCGGCUCCUCUUACUUUUGAUAGGGUCGCCGCCGCCUUUGUCAUGGGGUCGGCAGAGACGUCCGCCACUACUCGGUGGAUUGACCCCGCCGCCGACCUCCGGGAGGCGACGGAGUGGAACGAGCGGGAGAAGCGCGACGAGGACGAAGCCGCCCGCCUAGAGAAGGCAGAGGCCGACAGGGCGGAGGCCACCGCCCAGAGGAAGCUGGAUGAGGCCGAAGCCACCGUUGCGGCAAGGCGGCGAGCUGAGGAGGCCGCGCUCCUCCAAUCGGCGUUGCUUGUUAUCCCUCCAAACUCCGCGCAGCCGCCCCUGGAGUUCACGGGGUAG
Molecule: ribosomal RNA, 648 nt
Filed under: Triticum aestivum (bread wheat)
Lineage: Eukaryota; Viridiplantae; Streptophyta; Magnoliopsida; Poales; Poaceae
Description: partial small subunit ribosomal RNA
Source: RNAcentral